GUAGGUGGCAAGCGUUGUCCGGAAUUAUUGGGCGUAAAGCGCGCGCAGGUGGUUCUUUAAGUCUGAUGUGAAAGCCCCCGGCUCAACCGGGGAGGGUCAUUGGAAACUGGGGAACUUGAGUGCAGGAGAGGAAAAUGGAAUUCCACGUGUAGCGGUGAAAUGCGUAGAUAUGUGGAGGAACACCAGUGGCGAAGGCGACUUUCUGGCCUGUAACUGACACUGAGGCGCGAAAGCGUGGGGAGCAAACAGGGAUUAGAUACCCUGGUAGUCCACGCCGUAAACGAUGAGUGCUAAGUGUUGGGGGGGUUUCCCGCCCCUCAGUGCUGCAGCUAACGCAUUAAGCACUCCGCCUGGGGAGUACGGUCGCAAGACUG
This 374-nucleotide ribosomal RNA is filed under the name uncultured organism. Its description in RNAcentral is "partial 16S ribosomal RNA". It matches the Rfam family "Bacterial small subunit ribosomal RNA", at positions 527 to 896 of the family's 1533-position model. The record is from RNAcentral.